GAUGAACGCUGGCGGCGUGCCUAAUACAUGCAAGUCGAGCGAACAGACGAGGAGCUUGCUCCUCUGAUGUUAGCGGCGGACGGGUGAGUAACACGUGGAUAACCUACCUAUAAGACUGGGAUAACUUCGGGAAACCGGAGCUAAUACCGGAUAACAUGUUGAACCGCAUGGUUCAACAGUGAAAGACGGUCUUGCUGUCACUUAUAGAUGGAUCCGCGCCGCAUUAGCUAGUUGGUAAGGUAACGGCUUACCAAGGCAACGAUGCGUAGCCGACCUGAGAGGGUGAUCGGCCACACUGGAACUGAGACACGGUCCAGACUCCUACGGGAGGCAGCAGUAGGGAAUCUUCCGCAAUGGGCGAAAGCCUGACGGAGCAACGCCGCGUGAGUGAAGAAGGUCUUCGGAUCGUAAAACUCUGUUAUUAGGGAAGAACAAAUGUGUAAGUAACUAUGCACGUCUUGACGGUACCUAAUCAGAAAGCCCCGGCUAACUACGUG
RNAcentral lists this ribosomal RNA (497 nucleotides) under uncultured bacterium. RNAcentral's name for it is "partial 16S ribosomal RNA". It matches the Rfam family "Bacterial small subunit ribosomal RNA", at positions 28 to 507 of the family's 1533-position model. The record is from RNAcentral.